RNAcentral lists this ribosomal RNA (137 nucleotides) under uncultured eukaryote. RNAcentral's name for it is "partial 18S ribosomal RNA". It matches the Rfam family "Eukaryotic small subunit ribosomal RNA", at positions 1299 to 1458 of the family's 1831-position model. The record is from RNAcentral.
UGGUGGAGCGAUUUGUCUGGUUAAUUCCGAUAACGAACGAGACUCUAGCCUAUUAAAUAGUUGGUUGAUAAAGUCAGUUGAUGUUAACUUCUUAGAGGGACUAGUGGCGUUUAGCCACACGAGAAUGAGCAAUAACA